GCAAGUCGAACGCGUCUCCGUUAAUGAUUUUAGGUGCUUGCACUUGAAAGAUUUAACAUUGAGACGAGUGGCGAACUGGUGAGUAACACGUGGGUAACCUGCCCUUGAAGUAGGGGAUAACACUUGGAAACAGGUGCUAAUACCGUAUAACAACCAAAACCACCUGGUUUUGGUUUAAAAGACGGCUUCGGCUGUCACUUUAGGAUGGACCCGCGGCGUAUUAGCUUGUUGGUAAGGUAACGGCCUACCAAGGCGAUGAUACGUAGCCGACCUGAGAGGGUAAUCGGCCACAUUGGGACUGAGACACGGCCCAAACUCCUACGGGAGGCAGCAGUAGGGAAUCUUCCACAAUGGACGAAAGUCUGAUGGAGCAACGCCGCGUGAGUGAUGAAGGGUUUCGGCUCGUAAAACUCUGUUGUUGGAGAAGAACAGGUGUCAGAGUAACUGUUGACAUCUUGACGGUAUCCAACCAGAAAGCCACGGCUAACUACGUGCCAGCAGCCGCGGUAAUACGUAGGUGGCAAGCGUUGUCCGGAUUUAUUGGGCGUAAAGCGAGCGCAGGCGGUUUUUUAGGUCUGAUGUGAAAGCCUUCGGCUUAACCGGAGAAGUGCAUCGGAAACCGGGAGACUUGAGUGCAGAAGAGGACAGUGGAACUCCAUGUGUAGCGGUGAAAUGCGUAGAUAUAUGGAAGAACACCAGUGGCGAAGGCGGCUGUCUGGUCUGUAACUGACGCUGAGGCUCGAAAGC
RNAcentral lists this ribosomal RNA (747 nucleotides) under Lentilactobacillus buchneri. RNAcentral's name for it is "bacterial SSU rRNA". It matches the Rfam family "Bacterial small subunit ribosomal RNA", at positions 57 to 760 of the family's 1533-position model. Lineage: Bacteria; Bacillati; Bacillota; Bacilli; Lactobacillales; Lactobacillaceae. The record is from RNAcentral.